Molecule: long non-coding RNA, 467 nt
Filed under: Amborella trichopoda
Lineage: Eukaryota; Viridiplantae; Streptophyta; Magnoliopsida; Amborellales; Amborellaceae
Description: long non-coding RNA (ATRI_LNC001585)
Source: RNAcentral
GUCUCUACAGGGGUGCAGGUGAUACGCCGAUGAUCGAAUGGAGAGGGCGUGUCGUGCCGGCACUUUACUGAAAAGCGAACACACUUUUUAAAGGCGAGUGGGGUGAGCCCUACUUUGGUUCUCCAUCCCUGCCCGUCAAUUUUUGGAGGCCCUCCCAAGGGUCCACAAACAUUCCUAAGUCAAGCUUUCUAAGUCACUCAUUCUCAUUCCAGAACUCCUUGUGGGAAAACCGACCAUGAGCAGUUAAAUUAUUUUAUAUGAGUACCUUUUUAAACGUCGAAAAUAAAUUUGUACGUGUGCUUUUUUCUUUUUCUUUUUGCUCACCCCAUAGGCAAUGCAUUUGGUCUUCUCAUCACCUAAUAAUGUUUUUCUUCUCGUCACCCAAUAAUAUUUUUCUUUUUUAAUAUUUUUUUUUUUUACGGGUAGUGUGUGGUCUCAUCACCUAAUAAUAUUUUUUAAUAUUUUUC